AACGAACGCUGGCGGCAUGCCUAACACAUGCCAGUCGAACGAGACCUUCGGGUCUAGUGGCGCAAGGGUGCGUAACGCGUGGGAACCUGCCCUUAGGUUCGGAAUAACUCCCCGAAAGGGGUGCUAAUACCGGAUAAUGUCUUCGGACCAAAGAUUUAUCGCCUUUGGAUGGGCCCGCGUUGGAUUAGCUAGUCGGUAGGGUAAAAGCCUACCAAGGCGACGAUCCAUAGCUGGUCUGAGAGGAUGAUCAGCCACACUGGGACUGAGACACGGCCCAGACUCCUACGGGAGGCAGCAGUGGGGAAUAUUGGACAAUGGGCGAAAGCCUGAUCCAGCAAUGCCGCGUGAGUGAUGAAGGCCUUAGGGUUGUAAAGCUCUUUUACCCGGGAUGAUAAUGACAGUACCGGGAGAAUAAGCUCCGGCUAACUCCGUG
RNAcentral lists this ribosomal RNA (433 nucleotides) under uncultured bacterium. RNAcentral's name for it is "partial 16S ribosomal RNA". It matches the Rfam family "Bacterial small subunit ribosomal RNA", at positions 29 to 507 of the family's 1533-position model. The record is from RNAcentral.